GUGAAUCAUCAAAUCUUUGAACGCAAAUUGCACUCUCCUCGGAGAGUAUGCCUGUUUGAGGGUCAGCCUAUAAAAAAUCGACAUCGUUGCUGUUCCGCGGUGACGUUCGUCGGAAAUUGGGUUAUCUUAAACCUUUUGGUUUAAGCGACUUAAAAUUUUCCUUUUGAUUCCUUGACGUUUUUUAAGUUUUUUUCCUUUACCCUUUUAGGUAAUCAA
Molecule: unclassified non-coding RNA, 216 nt
Filed under: Glomeraceae sp.
Lineage: Eukaryota; Fungi; Glomeromycota; Glomeromycetes; Glomerales; Glomeraceae
Description: partial contains 5.8S ribosomal RNA and internal transcribed spacer 2
Rfam family: 5.8S ribosomal RNA (bases 1-65)
Source: RNAcentral